Pecten maximus is the source of this 3838-nucleotide long non-coding RNA. RefSeq lists it as uncharacterized. The transcript has 2 exons. The record is from RefSeq and is a predicted model, not a curated record. Lineage: Eukaryota; Metazoa; Mollusca; Bivalvia; Pectinida; Pectinidae.
CCAUUCUACUCUUAUCUCUGAUGAGUCUAGACAAGGCUUCCUUUCCUCUCCCAUUCUACUCUUAUCUCUCAUGAGUCUAGACAAGGCUUCCUUCCCUCUCCCAUUCUACUCUUAUCUCUCAUGAGUCUAGACAAGGCUUCCUUUCCUCUCCCAUUCUACUCUUAUCUCUGAUGAGUCUAGACAAGGCUUCCUUUCCUCUCCCAUUCUACUCUUAUCUCUCAUGAGUCUAGACAAGGCUUCCUUUCCUCUCCCAUUCUACUCUUAUCUCUCAUGAGUCUAGACAAGGCUUCCUUCCCUCUCCCAUUCUACUCUUAUCUCUGAUGAGUCUAGACAAGGCUUCCUUCCCUCUCCCAUUCUACUCUUAUCUCUGACGAGUCUAGACAAGGCUUCUUUUCCUCCCCCAUUCUACUCUUAUCUCUGAUGAGUCUAGACAAGGCUUCCUUCCCUCUCCCAUUCUACUCUUAUCUCUCAUGAGUCUAGACAAGGCUUCCUUUCCUCUCCCAUUCUACUCUUAUCUCUGACGAGUCUAGACAAGGCUUCCUUUCCUCUCCCAUUCUACUCUUAUCUCUGACGAGUCUAGACAAGGCUUCCUUUCCUCUCCCAUUCUACUCUUAUCUCUGAUGAGUCUAGACAAGGCUUCCUUCCCUCUCCCAUUCUACUCUUAUCUCUGAUGAGUCUAGACAAGGCUUCCUUCCCUCUCUCAUUCUACUCUUAUCUCUGAAGAGUCUAGACAAGGCUUCCUUUCCUCUCCCAUUCUACUCUUAUCUCUGACGAGUCUAGACAAGGCUUCCUUUCCUCUCCCAUUCUACUCUUAUCUCUCAUGAGUCUAGACAAGGCUUCCUUCCCUCUCCCAUUCUACUCUUAUCUCUGACGAGUCUAGACAAGGCUUCCUUUCCUCUCCCAUUCUACUCUUAUCUCUCAUGAGUCUAGACAAGGCUUCUUUUCCUCUCCCAUUCUACUCUUAUCUCUGACGAGUCUAGACAAGGCUUCUUUUCCUCUCCCAUUCUACUCUUAACCCUGAUGAGUCUAGACAAGGCUUCCUUCCCUCUCCCAUUCUACUCUUAUCUCUGAUGAGUCUAGACAAGGCUUCCUUUCCUUCCCCAUUCUACUCUUAUCUCUGAUGAGUCUAGACAAGGCUUCCUUUAUUUUAUCAAACCAUAAAAUAAUGAAUGUUUAUCAAUUUAGGACUAGGAAGCUAAACAAGUCAUAAUUAACACUUCCUUGUUGCUGAUAUUUUGUAAUUCUCAAUUUCAAUGUUGACUGUAAUAUUACAGUGUUGAUCUCAAUCAGUUUAUAUGUAUUAAUGCUGCAGGUAUGGCAUGUUAAUGUAUUUAUAAUCAUUACUCGCAUGUUAGUUUUGACUGUGAUAGAAUCGAGAGUACAAAUAUUGUACUCGCACAUUAUGCUGCCUGUACUUCCGUGUAUGUGACAGUCACCCAAAUUAAUACAAUGCUAUUUUCAUAUGCUAUUGUUAUUAAAGAUUCAAUCCAUGUAACUUGUAAUCUUUUGUACAUGUAUAUAUUUUAAGUUUAAUUUGGCAAUCCUUCAGGAAGUAAAGGAUAUUGCUGACUAUUUCUUAUUCAUUCGUUUUAUUAGCUGUCUUUAGUUCAGUUCCUAAGUAAUAUUCAAUCAUGUAAACUUGGUGUAUAACUAUAUCAUCAGAUGUACAACACAACUUGGUGUAUAACUAGAUCAUCAGAUGUACAACACAACUUGGUGUAUAACUGUGUGAUCAGAUGUACAACACAACUUGGUGUAUAACAAUGUGAUCAGAUGUACAACACAACUUGGUGUAUAACAAUGUGAUCAGAUGUACAACACAACUUGGUGUAUAACAAUGUGAUCAGAUGUACAACACAACUUGGUGUAUAACUGUGUGAUCAGAUGUACAACACAACUUGGUGUAUAACAAUGUGAUCAGAUGUACAACACAACUUGGUGUAUAACAAUGUGAUCAGGUGUACAACACAACUUGGUGUAUAACUAGAUCAUCAGAUGUACAACACAACUUGGUGUAUAACUAGACCAUCAGAUGUACAACACAACUUGUUGUAUAACUAUAUGAUCAGAUGUACAACACAACUUGGUGUAUAACUAGACCAUCAGAUGUACAACACAACUUGGUGUAUAACAAUGUGAUCAGAUGUACAACACAACUUGGUGUAUAACAAUGUGAUCAGGUGUACAACACAACUUGGUGUAUAACUAGAUCAUCAGAUGUACAACACAACUUGGUGUAUAACUAGACCAUCAGAUGUACAACACAACUUGGUGUAUAACUAUGUGAUCAGAUGUACAACACAACUUGGUGUAUAACAAUGUGGUCAGUUGUACAACACAACUUGGUGUAUAACUAGACCAUCAGGUGUACAACACAACUUGGUGUAUAACUAUAUGAUCAGAUGUACAACACAACUUGGUGUAUAACUAUGUGAUCAGAUGUACAACACAACUUGGUGUAUAACAAUGUGGUCAGUUGUACAACACAACUUGGUGUAUAACUAGACCAUCAGAUGUACAACACAACUUGGUGUAUAACUAUGUGAUCAGAUGUACAACACAACUUGGUGUAUAACAAUGUGAUCAGAUGUACAACACAACUUGGUGUAUAACUAUAUGAUCAGAUGUACAACACAACUUGGUGUAUAACUAUGUGAUCAGAUGUACAACACAACUUGGUGUAUAACUAGAUCAUCAGAUGUACAACACAACUUGUUGUAUAACUAUAUGAUCAGAUGUACAACACAACUUGGUGUAUAACUAGACCAUCAGAUGUACAACACAACUUGGUGUAUAACUGUGUGAUCAGGUGUACAACACAACUUCGUGUAUAACUGUGUGAUCAGGUGUACAACACAACUUGGUGUAUAACUAUGUGAUCAGGUGUACAACACAACUUGGUGUAUAACAAUGUGAUCAGGUGUACAACACAACUUGGUGUAUAACUAGAUCAUCAGAUGUACAACACAACUUGGUGUAUAACUAGAUCAUCAGAUGUACAACACAACUUGGUGUAUAACUAUGUGAUCAGAUGUACAACACAACUUGGUGUAUAACUAUGUGAUCAGAUGUACAACACAACUUGGUGUAUAACUAGAUCAUCAGAUGUACAACACAACUUGGUGUAUAACUAGAUCAUCAGAUGUACAACAUAACUUGGUGUAUAACUAGAUCAUCAGGUGUACAACACAACUUGGUGUAUAACUGUGUGAUCAGAUGUACAACACAACUUGGUGUAUAACUAGAUCAUCAGAUGUACAACAUAACUUGGUGUAUAACUAGAUCAUCAGAUGUACAACACAACUUGGUGUAUAACUGUGUGAUCAGAUGUACAACAACUUGGAGAUCAAAAUUCUUAGAUACUUUGAGCGGAAGGGGGGGGGGGGGGGGAUUGCGUUUUUUAUUUUUUGUUGUUUUUUUUAAUACAAUUAUUUAUGUAUUUCUAUCUCCUUGAACAAUUUUUAGAUUGACAUCAUUUUUUGUAUACACAGUUUAAAUGUUCAUCUAAUCAGUUUUAAGUUUACUUGUUUUAUUAUGAGUUCGGCCAUUUUCGUCUCUCGAAUUCGUCCCGUGUUUUCUGCAGCCAUUGUUUAUUGUAUCAUGUUGUACUUGAUUUCCUUUCUCGUAUCCAGUAAUUAGUUAUGGUAAUACGUAUGUUUGAUGGAGAACAUAUUACAGAAUCUUUUAUGUUUGUAAACGAGAGUGUCAACGAUGCAAUGCACUUGUGUUUAAUGGCUGCAAUGGUUGACGUAUACGACUGUAUGAUCCUAAUACAAAUUGCCCGUACAGACAAUCUGCCUUUGAUAGAUGACGGGGGAAUAAAUGAUUAUAACAUAAA